CCUACGGGCGGCAGCAGUGAGGAAUAUUGGUCAAUGGGCGAGAGCCUGAACCAGCCAAGUCGCGUGAGGGAGUACUGCCCUAUGGGUUGUAAACCUCUUUUGUCGGGGAGCAAAAGCCGGACGUGUCCGGCUGUGAGAGUACCCGAAGAAAAAGAAUCGGCUAACUUCGUGCCAGCAGCCGCGGUAAUACGGAGGAUGCGAGCGUUUUCCGGAUUUAUUGGGUUUAAAGGGUGCGCAGGCGGAUUUUUAAGUCAGCGGUAAAAUCGGGGGGCUCAACCCCAUCCCGCCGUUGAAACUGGCGAUCUUGAGUGGGCGAGAGGUAUGCGGAAUGCGUGGUGUAGCGGUGAAAUGCAUAGAUAUCACGCAGAACCCCGAUUGCGAAGGCAGCAUACCGGUGCACAACUGACGCUCAGGCACGAAAGCGUGGGUAUCGAACAGGAUUAGAUACCCGAGUAGUC
This 458-nucleotide ribosomal RNA is filed under the name uncultured bacterium. RNAcentral's name for it is "partial 16S ribosomal RNA". It matches the Rfam family "Bacterial small subunit ribosomal RNA", at positions 338 to 795 of the family's 1533-position model. The record is from RNAcentral.